CCACGAUAGGCGGGGGGCUGGCGGUCCCCUGAACCCGAAACCCGCCAAGCGGGGCUGAAUUCCCACCCCAGGCAGCUUGUGUCAAGAAACAGCUUGCUUGGAAAGUGCUGAAGGUUCGGUCCUGCGCAACAGCGCCCCGUGAACCUGGUCAGGCCCGGAAGGGAGCAGCCAUAAGCGGUCAGUGUUGUGUGCCGCAGGGGUGCCGGACUGGAGCUUGAAGAGCAGGUAUGACUUGGUGCGGGUUUUGUCGAAGGUGGGUUCGUGG
This 265-nucleotide signal recognition particle RNA is filed under the name Thermotogota bacterium. RNAcentral describes it as "Thermotogae bacterium signal recognition particle sRNA large type". It matches the Rfam family "Bacterial large signal recognition particle RNA". Rfam says of the family: The signal recognition particle (SRP) is a universally conserved ribonucleoprotein involved in the co-translational targeting of proteins to membranes. Archaeal SRP consists of a 7S RNA and homologues of the eukaryotic SRP19 and SRP54 proteins. The record is from RNAcentral. Lineage: Bacteria; Thermotogati; Thermotogota.